CAUGGAUACCAUAAAGUUAACUGCUGUUUGGGUAAUGGCUUUAUAAAAGCUGUGGUCACUUCCUUUUCAGUAUUGCAUAGUGCAACUUACCUUUAUUGAAAUGACAAAUAAUAGCAACCUGCUCUAUGCUUUCUUAAGGCCUAGGAGGUCUGAAUACAGAAAGAAGCACCUUUUUGUUUAACAAUAAAAAUUGUGAUAGCCAGUAGUUUUUUUGAAACACCUAAGACUCCCCAAAAUAAAUUUGUCGAUAUCACUAAAGCAAUGCAGUAUUUAAGGAUAUAAAAAUACAGCUGUUAUAAAUAUGACAGUAAGUAAGUCUUGAUGAUAUAGAAAAGAAAGACACAUAAAUGUAACAGGAAACAUUACGGCAAAAAGAGUAUAACCACAAUAAAGAAUUACUAGUGAAUAUACUUAAAUUAGGCUAAAAUGUCUUUCUGUGACUAAAAAAAUAUAAGGCAAAAGCAGCAAUUUACAGUCUGGUAGUUUUAGCAGAGCUCACUGAAAAUGAAUGAAACCUGAUUACUCCCUGUGUUGUACUAUUGGACAGAUUUGCAGUGAAGUCUGCUUUAGGUUUGUAGCUAUAAAGGUUUGGUUGGUAAGCUGGAGGUAUAUAGCAUUGCUUAAUUACUGAACAAAUCACAACCCCUGGCUCUUUAUAUUUCAGUACAAUAAAGUUUUCUUUUUCAUCUCAGUAAUUUUCAGAUUUUUAUGUUGUUUUGCCUGGUUAACAUUGCAGACUAGGGUUUGCUCUAACUUUGUAAAAUCCAUUGGGAACCUCUCACUGGCCUUAGCUUAUGCAGUAUCUCACCAAAAUCAUACUACUUCAAGCAGAGCUGUGCUGUGCACAGAAGUGGAAGGAGUCCUGGGAGCAGCAAUAUUCCCAGCUCCAAAUGCUCUGUGGUGACAGAACGUCACGGAGUCCGUGCAGAGGGAGAACAGUGAAGUUCCACAAGUGCUUGCUGGCAGGAUUUUUACAUGAACAGCUGUGACUCACAAUUUCUCCAAGUCCCUCUCUCCAGCUGAGAAGGCAUUUCAGGUCACCAGAUGUACAAUUACCAUUCUCACAGGAGCUAAGCAGACAGUUUCUGACUUUCUAGAGCAGUGUGCUUCUUGUCAAUCACAGACUUCUGCACAUUCACAAAAUACUUCCUCCUGAAGGUCUGUCAGAUGACCAAACCCCAUGUACUACCUUAGACUCCCUAGAGAAUUAUCCUGCCUCCUCAAGAAUCUCUGUGGAGGGGGGGAGGAAAAUGGUUCAGGUUUGCUAAAUGGACAUAAUUCUAUAUAUUUUUCACACACAACACUUUUAUAUCUCAUAUUACACACACUAUCUGGAUCUGAUAGGGGAACGAUAUUUAUUUAAUAGAUACACUGUUUAGUAUUUGCUACUCAUUGGCAAACAAAACUUACAUGUAACAUGAUGAUUUGUUCAGACACUAGUGUGAACACUGAGUAGACAUUAGGGAGAGACAUAGAAGUGGCAGACUAAACAAAUGUAUUGUGAGUGAAAAACAUAGGAUUGAACACGUUCCCAUAAGAGGAAUGAGGGAGAAAUCAAAAGCCAAGCAUAAUGCACAGAAGAGUUAUCUUCUUAUAGUAGUUCUAUUACAUGAUCUAAUUUUGAAAGGAAUUCUCAAGUUUCAGCCUAGAAAAUGUGUUGCAACAGUUGUUGUUUGGAUUUUUUUUUUAGUUGGUGUAAAUUCUAAAAUGUACAGGGUUUUAAUUCAGGCCAGUGAAGGAAAUAAGUAGAAGCUUUCCAGUUUCUGCCAUUCCGUGCUACUGGAGAAGAUGAGAUUAAGGUACAUGCUUAGUACAUGACUCAAAACUCUUUAUUGAGAGAAAUUAGAUUAUUUGGUUCUCUCUCUUUCUGUUUAUCUUUCUUUUCCCUCCUAAGUAAAUGCUAAUUCUAGGUUCUUCAUAAGACAAUACUGUAUGGAAGAGCUACAGUCACUGUAUAGAAUUCCAAAAUCACAUGCAACACACAUUGAAGAAAACCACAGGAAAGUCUGAAUUUUCACAUGUGGUUUCCUAAAAGAGACAGUGGCCACCACUAAAUUCUGGAAAUUCCCAAUAAGAUUCAUGAAUUUACUGUAUUAAUACAGAGACAGAAGUAAUGAGCUGAAGACAAAAAGAAAGUUAGACACUCUAGAAAUAAAUUACAGAUGUCAUUCUGUAAAACCUGCAUUUAGAUGGGGUUGUGCAAAUUAUCUUUCAGUUGGGAAGCUUAUGCCUGCCACAAGCAGUAAACUUAGCAGGUUCUUCAGCAGUGUCCUUUGUAUUGAGGGAGGCAGAAAAGCUGACAGUGGAGAUGGUGCUGUCUUGACAAGACUGACUGCCUGAGAUUGCAUGGCAGUAUGUUGUACCCAUCUCUCAUGAUUUUUGUUUCUAGAGGCAGGGGCUGUCUUAUUUUUUUUCUCUGUAUUCAUACACUGCUUAACACAGUGGCUUCUGAUAGAUGACAGGGCCUCCUAGGUGCUGUAGUAACAUAAGCAGUAAUUAUUAAACUUUGGUCAUAUUAUGCUAUUCUGGUGCUGGUCCUCCCAGGAACUUCAUAAACCACCAUGAAGCCUUCCUGGAGAGGUGGGACAAGUGCAAGUGUACAGUUAGCCAAUUAUCAUAGGACAAUUGACAUUUCCACUCUUUCCUAAAUCAGAUGUAAUUUCAUUUAGGUUUUAGAAGAGUAGGCCUCAGUGGUGAAAUGCAAAUAUAGAAUUGAUGGCAUAUCAAAUUGUUUCUAGUGGUCUCUGUUGUACUUGUCCCAGCUGUGGGAAAAGCAUAUGGAUGCAGCAGCCUGAAACCAGCACGCUGGGAGAGAGGAAGGGGAUCUAGACCAUAGAGGGAGAAGGAGGAAAGAAUAGAGCUCCAAAUUUUUUAAGUUAGUCCUGUCAGAAUCCAGGCUCCUAACAUGGGACAUUUUCAUCCUGUCCUAGAGGAAAUGUGAAGUCUUUUCUGGAAUGGAAUGGAAUAAGGAGAAAGACAAGAAAAACAGAUGGCACUGUAUUGCUAGGAACAAGAGUACGACUAUUACACAUAUUUCUGAAUUAAAUGGAAGUGUGAAUAAGGAUGGAAGAACAGAAUACCCAACACUUUUUGGAAAUCAGUCUCUGAAUUCUUACUAUUUUUUUCCUAGCAAUAAUUGUUUGUUUUAAUUUUGUCUUUUAUCUUAUUAUAUUAAUUAGUUUCAGU
This is a long non-coding RNA of Pseudopipra pipra, 3186 nucleotides long. RefSeq lists it as uncharacterized. Lineage: Eukaryota; Metazoa; Chordata; Aves; Passeriformes; Pipridae. The transcript has 3 exons. The record is from RefSeq and is a predicted model, not a curated record.